GCGGAAGUGGCGGAAUGGCAGACGCGUCGGACUUAGGAUCCGAUGGGGUCCUCCCGUGGGGGUUCGAGUCCCCCCUUCCGCACCA
This 85-nucleotide transfer RNA is filed under the name Pseudomonadota bacterium. RNAcentral's name for it is "tRNA-Leu". It matches the Rfam family "tRNA". From Rfam's summary of the family: Transfer RNA (tRNA) molecules are approximately 80 nucleotides in length. Their secondary structure includes four short double-helical elements and three loops (D, anti-codon, and T loops). Further hydrogen bonds mediate the characteristic L-shaped molecular structure. tRNAs have two regions of fundamental functional importance: the anti-codon, which is responsible for specific mRNA codon recognition, and the 3' end, to which the tRNAs corresponding amino acid is attached (by aminoacyl-tRNA synthetases). tRNAs cope with the degeneracy of the genetic code in two manners: having more than one tRNA (with a specific anti-codon) for a particular amino acid; and 'wobble' base-pairing, i.e. permitting non-standard base-pairing at the 3rd anti-codon position. Lineage: Bacteria; Pseudomonadati; Pseudomonadota. RNAcentral also lists the same sequence under 2 other names. The record is from RNAcentral.